GUGGAGCCAACCUUGAAAUACCACCCUUUAAUGUUUGAUGUUCUAACGUUGGCCCCUGACCGGGGUUGCGGACAGUGUCUGGUGGGUAGUUUGACUGGGGCGGUCUCCUCCCAAAGCGUAACGGAGGAGCACGAAGGUUAGCUAAUCCUGGUCGGACAUCAGGAGGUUAGUGCAAUGGCAUAAGCUAGCUUGACUGCGAGCGUGACGGCGCGAGCAGGUGCGAAAGCAGGUCAUAGUGAUCCGGUGGUUCUGAAUGGAAGGGCCAUCGCUCAACGGAUAAAAGGUACUCCGGGGAUAACAGGCUGAUACCGCCCAAGAGUUCAUAUCGACGGCGGUGUUUGGCACCUCGAUGUCGGCUCAUCACAUCCUGGGGCUGAAGUAGGUCCCAAGGGUAUGGCUGUUCGCCAUUUAAAGUGGUACGCGAGCUGGGUUUAGAACGUCGUGAGACAGUUCGGUCCCUAUCUGCCGUGGGCGCUGGAGAAUUGAGGGGGGCUGCUCCUAGUACGAGAGGACCGGAGUGGACGCAUCACUGGUGUUCGGGUUGUCAUGCCAAUGGCACUGCCCGGUAGCUAAAUGCGGAAGAGAUAAGUGCUGAAAGCAUCUAAGCACGAAACUUGCCCCGAGAUGAGUUCUCCCUGAGACUAUAAGUCUCCUGAAGGAACGUUAAGACGAUGACGUUGAUAGGCCGGGUGUGUAAGCGCAGCGAUGCGUUGAGCUAACCGGUACUAAUGAACCGUGAGGCUUAACCUU
Molecule: ribosomal RNA, 750 nt
Filed under: Klebsiella pneumoniae subsp. pneumoniae ST258-K28BO
Lineage: Bacteria; Pseudomonadati; Pseudomonadota; Gammaproteobacteria; Enterobacterales; Enterobacteriaceae
Description: LSU rRNA
Rfam family: Bacterial large subunit ribosomal RNA
Source: RNAcentral